GACGAACGCUGGCGGCGCGCCUAACACAUGCAAGUCGAACGGAGCUGAGAGAAGCUUGCUUUUCUUAGCUUAGUGGCGAACGGGUGAGUAACGCGUGAUUAACCUGCCCUGGAGUGGGGGACAACAAUUGGAAACGACUGCUACUACCGCAUAAGCCCACGAUCCGGCAUCGGCUUGAGGGAAAAGGAUUUAUUCGCUUCAGGAUGGACUCGCGUCCAAUUAGCUAGUUGGUGAGGUAACGGCCCACCAAGGCGACGAUUGGUAGCCGGACUGAGAGGUUGAACGGCCACAUUGGGACUGAGACACGGCCCAGACUCCUACGGGAAGCAGCAGUGGGGGAUAUUGCACAAUGGGGGAAAGCCUGAUGCAGCGACGCCGCGUGGAGGAAGAAGGUUUUAGGAUUGUAAACUUCUGUCGUUAGGGACGAUAAUGACGGUACCUAACAAGAAAGCACCGGCUAACUACGUG
Molecule: ribosomal RNA, 468 nt
Filed under: uncultured bacterium
Lineage: Bacteria
Description: partial 16S ribosomal RNA
Rfam family: Bacterial small subunit ribosomal RNA
Source: RNAcentral